RNAcentral lists this ribosomal RNA (253 nucleotides) under uncultured bacterium. RNAcentral describes it as "partial 16S ribosomal RNA". It matches the Rfam family "Bacterial small subunit ribosomal RNA", at positions 524 to 776 of the family's 1533-position model. The record is from RNAcentral.
UACGUAGGACGCAAGCGUUAUCCGGAGUUACUGGGCGUAAAGCGCGGGCAGGCGGUCUUGCCAGUCUGAUGUGAAAUCUCUCCGCUCAACGGGGAGCAGCCAUUGGAAACUACAAGACUGGAGUCUGACAGAGGUAGGCGGAAUUCCGGGUGGAGUGGUGAAAUGCGUAGAGAUCCGGAGGAACACCAGAGGCGAAGGCGGCCUACUGGGUCAGUACUGACGCUGAGCCGCGAAAGCCAGGGGAGCGAACGGG